GAUGAACGCUGGCGGCGUGCUUAACACAUGCAAGUCGAGCGAGUGAGUUCUUCGGAACGAUCUAGCGGCGGACGGGUGAGUAACACGUGGGCAACCUGCCUCAUAGAGGGGAAUAGCCUCCCGAAAGGGAGAUUAAUACCGCAUAACAUCAUUGAAGGGCAUCCUUCGAUGAUCAAAGGAGCAACCCGCUAUGAGAUGGGCCCGCGGCGCAUUAGCUAGUUGGUGAGGUAACGGCUCACCAAGGCGACGAUGCGUAGCCGACCUGAGAGGGUGAUCAGCCACAUUGGGACUGAGACACGGCCCAGACUCCUACGGGAGGCAGCAGUGGGGAAUAUUGCACAAUGGGGGAAACCCUGAUGCAGCAACGCCGCGUGAGUGAUGACGGCCUUCGGGUUGUAAAGCUCUGUCUUUGGGGACGAUAAUGACGGUACCCAAGGAGGAAGUCACGGCUAACUACGUGCCAGCCGCCGCGGUAA
RNAcentral lists this ribosomal RNA (476 nucleotides) under uncultured bacterium. RNAcentral describes it as "partial 16S ribosomal RNA". It matches the Rfam family "Bacterial small subunit ribosomal RNA", at positions 28 to 523 of the family's 1533-position model. The record is from RNAcentral.